Molecule: long non-coding RNA, 1145 nt
Filed under: Oreochromis niloticus (Nile tilapia)
Lineage: Eukaryota; Metazoa; Chordata; Actinopteri; Cichliformes; Cichlidae
Description: lncRNA (ENSONIG00000036150.1)
Source: RNAcentral
AUCCGUCUGAUCGUUUGUCUUUCAGCUGUGACUAACAAAUACAUCCUGGUGCAGAACUUCAAGACCUGGUCUAAUGCUCAGUCUUACUGCAGACAGAGGUACACAGACCUGAGCACCAUCAACGACUGGUCGGACAACAACCAGAUAGCUUUCAUUUUGCCAACUACUGUUCAUGCCUGGAUUGGACUGUACAGAAAUUACUGGACGUGGUCAAACUCAAGCACAGCCUCCAACCUGCCAUGGGGGCUCAGGCAGCCUAAUAACAGCGUAAACUGUGCCACAAUAGUUGGAUCAACGGGCUCCUUCAACAGUCAUAACUGUGAUGACCAACGCCCCUUCCUCUGCUCCACAGAUGUCAAACCUUCAGCCUCGAGGUCAGUGAAGGUUCAGCUGAGGGCGGGAUCUGCAGACCUGAACGACCCCACAGUGCAAGAAUCCAUCCUGCAGCAGGUGAGGGAGAAGCUGGUGGAGCAAGGGAUCAGAGAGGAGGUGAACCUGAGGUGGAAGACGCAGCCUGAUGGGAAGAUUUUCCACAGAGAGGAGGAGACAGCCGGUUACUGUGAGAAGGAAGACUGUGGGUCGGUUUAGUCUGAACGUUACUGGCUGAUGUUCCUCAGAUGAUCUGUUGUGUAAUUCAACUUAUUUCCAUCUCUGUACUCUGACUGCUGGACUGUAAUAGCGUAGCUUUGAAUGACUGACAGUUGGAAAUAAUCCUUAUUUAUCCUAAGCUCAGAUCAAAGAGUGUCUGAUGAGCUGUUUUAUGCCUCUUUGUUUCUUCUGAUUGGUGGGCUGCAAAGUUUGCAGGUGAGCAGGUGAGCGGACCUUCUGUGUCUCAGAUAUAAAUGUUAAUGAUAUCCUGUCUCUACAUAUGAAAGUUCAAGAGGAGAAAAAAGUGAAAUUGAGUGUUCAGAGCAGUCUGAUGUCUGAGCUUUUUGACUUCAUACAUUAUAUUUCAAAUGAGCACCCAGCAAUAUAACAGUAGAUAUGCCGUAUAUGUCAGUGAAUCGCGCAUUUAUGCUCUCUAUUAUGAUAUUAAAUAUACAUUUUUCUGUAAAAGUCUCAGAAAUGUCUCUGCUGCUGUUUGAUUCUGUAAACUACAGUGAUGGCUCUGCAUCCAUCUUCAUUGUAAACUCUAUUCAAUAAAG